Molecule: long non-coding RNA, 454 nt
Organism: Centrocercus urophasianus (Greater sage-grouse)
Lineage: Eukaryota; Metazoa; Chordata; Aves; Galliformes; Phasianidae
Exons: 3
Source: RefSeq, a predicted model, not a curated record
GACCUCAGGGACUACAGAUGCCACGUGGGAAGCGCCUGGGCAGCCGGCCGCAUGCAAAACCUGGAUGUCUUCCUGCAAGCCCCUGGGAUAGCUGAAACCAGAGGGACAUUAAGCAGAAACCAUAAAGUCACAUUUCUGAAAUGCUUUAGUCAUCAAAGCUCUGUGCAAGUAAAUCUGCUGCAGCUGGAGAAGAUGCACGGAGAUCUGACAGAGAGGGUAGCAGAGGGCUGCACUGUGGAGAGCCUGCAGGUCGUCCCCAGCACAGCUGGGGGAACCAACCACACCUGUGUGUUACGGACAUCCACGAGAAGGCAGUUCCAUAGAAGAUUUAUUUUCAGAAGCAAAGUCUUUCUGGCAGUGAUUUCGAAUCACACCGUAACAGCAACACCCCUCAAGCAGAAAGUGUUUUCCAAUGGCUCAUCUACCCCACGUGUGCACCCAGAGCAGCAGACCU